GACGAACGCUGGCGGCGUGCUUAACACAUGCAAGUCGAACGGAAAGGCCCUUCUUUUGUGGGGUGCUCGAGUGGCGAACGGGUGAGUAACACGUGAGUAACCUGCCCUUGACUUUGGGAUAACUUCAGGAAACUUGGGCUAAUACCGGAUAGGAGCUCCUGCUGCAUGGUGGGGGUUGGAAAGUUUCGGCGGUUGGGGAUGGACUCGCGGCUUAUCAACUUGUUGGUGGGGUAGUGGCUUACCAAGGCUUUGACGGGUAGCCGGCCUGAGAGGGUGACCGGCCAAAUUGGGACUGAGAUACGGCCCAGACUCCUACGGGAGGCAGCAGUGGGGAAUAUUGCACAAUGGGCGGAAGCCUGAUGCAGCAACGCCGCGUGCGGGAUGACGGCCUUCGGGUUGUAAACCGCUUUCGCCUGUGACGAAGCGUGAGUGACGGUAAUGGGUAAAGAAGCACCGGCUAACUACGUG
RNAcentral lists this ribosomal RNA (468 nucleotides) under uncultured bacterium. Its description in RNAcentral is "partial 16S ribosomal RNA". It matches the Rfam family "Bacterial small subunit ribosomal RNA", at positions 28 to 507 of the family's 1533-position model. The record is from RNAcentral.